AUCAUAAUCCAUGAGUGUAUGCCUAAAAUAUAAAAUGGUGAGCAAGGGGGGAGAGGAAGCAAGAGAUGUCAUCAAGAUACAAAUAAUACAAAGAAGAUCAUUUACCCAAGUUAUAAAAGUGGGCAAGGCAGCAUUCGUUAAAAUAUAACUAACAUAAGUAAAUUAUGAGAAGUGUCAUCUUACAAAAACAUAUAUACCAUGAAACAAGUAAUUAAUAACUACACAAAACGUCACAUAUUGUCCUUCAGUAGCCAUUUCAAAAGAAAAUGUAAAACAACAUGCACAUUGAUUGCUGCUACUCCAUAAUUAUUCUCCUAAACCCUUACAAACCAGGCUACUCUUUUUAUUUUGUUGCGCAAUUACACUAGUAUGCACAAUGGCUACUAACAAACUAUCAUUGUCCUGGUUAUGAGCUUAAGUUAAUCAUGGAAGUGACUGGAACAUGGGGACAGUGUGUGACAGUAAAUUAAAUAACAUCAUAAAAUUCAAAGCAUAUGGAAGGGAGGGAGGAUAAGACAACAAAGUGUUAUAUGAAGUAUGAACAGCUUACAAGGUUAAAAGUUAGACAUUUCCUUUUUAUUUUUACCUCUCUAACUCACAAGCUGCUAUUCCUCAGUCACAGCAAUCAAAUUGGCUUCCUCAAUACAAAUAUAAAACUUACAAGUGGAAUCAAAAUAUGGCAUGACAUGAUAUAGUAGAAUAAAAGCAUGCCAAUAAACUUCCCAAAAAAAAUAUAAUGGUCUGAUUUACAAUACUUUUGCAAGGAACAACGCCAGUCAUAUGUCAAAUAAUCCCUACCUCAGUACUUGGGAAACCAAUUAAAAUGAACAUUAAAUAUAAACAGAUGAUGUUAUUGCUUAAAGGAAAAUUCUUAUUUAAAUUCAAAAAGAAAUCCAGUUAUAAUAAAGACCAAAGGACAGUUGGAAGAAAGAAAAACCUUCAGUUUUUAGUCUAGAAAGCUUUUGUUUUUCUUAUUAUCACAAGAGAGCAAAAGAGAGAAAUAAAAAGUCUUAUUUGUAAGAGAAAAGUUUUUAUUUGAAAUAGAGAGUAUGAGUUUGCAUAGGGAAAAGUCUGGUUGUUGGUUAAUACAAUAAAGUUUGACUUUUAGAGAAGAAAAUAUCCUCUUUGGAGAGAGAGUGGUUUUCAGGAGGAAAAUCUUACCAAUAUUGUUUUAGGAAAAGUUUAAAAUUUUGAAGUUUGAGGGGAAAAAGAAUGGAUAGCCAGCCAGUUAGAGGUUUCUAUUGUGCAUGGGUGCAAGUGAUGCUUGACAAUGGCAGUAAUAUAGAAGACAAUGUGCUAUAAUGUUAGAAAUAAGAUGAGCAAAGCAAGGACGAUGAAUAAGAAAUAAAAACUAGUGAUCUUGUCAAAUCCACAAUAG
This 1378-nucleotide unclassified non-coding RNA is filed under the name Hevea brasiliensis (rubber tree). Lineage: Eukaryota; Viridiplantae; Streptophyta; Magnoliopsida; Malpighiales; Euphorbiaceae. The record is from RNAcentral.